UACUGGCAGGAUCAACCAGGCAACAGUGAAGAGCAAGUAUCCUCUUCCCCGGAUCGACGGGCUCUUUGACCAGCUUUAGGGUGCUCAGUACUUUUCGAAGGUGGACCUGAGAUCGGGAUAUCAUCAGCUGCGAGUCAGAGAGCAGGAUGUGCAGAAGACGGCGUUUUGUACUUGCUACGGGCACUAUAAGUUCCUUGUGAUGCCAUUCGGGUUGACGAAUGCACUAGCAGUGUUCAUGGCUCUGAUGAACAAGAUCUUUGCCCCGUACCUCGACAGCUUUACAGUAGUGUUCAUCGACGAUGUGUUGGUCUACUCGAAGUCCAGAGAGGAGCACGAGCAGCAUUUGAGGACGCCUUUGCAGUUGUUGCGCGACAACCAGUUGUAUGCGAAGCUCAGCA
Molecule: unclassified non-coding RNA, 398 nt
Filed under: Litsea tomentosa
Lineage: Eukaryota; Viridiplantae; Streptophyta; Magnoliopsida; Laurales; Lauraceae
Description: partial miscellaneous RNA
Source: RNAcentral